GGCCUGGUUGGGCGGUCUUGCCGAAAGGUAAGUACUGCUCCGAUCGGGUCUUUCCUUCUGGGGAACCAGUGUGCUCUUAACUGAGUGCGCUGGGGAUCCAGGACUUUUACUUUGAAAAAAUUAGAGUGUUUAAAGCAGGCGAAACAGCUUGAAUACAUUAGCAUGGAAUAAUAAAAGAGG
RNAcentral lists this ribosomal RNA (180 nucleotides) under uncultured Glomeromycotina. Its description in RNAcentral is "partial small subunit ribosomal RNA". The record is from RNAcentral. Lineage: Eukaryota; Fungi; Glomeromycota.